GUAGUCUCGCACAGAUGCAUAUCAAUAAGCGGAGGAAAAGAAACUAACAAGGAUUCCCCUAGUAACGGCGAGUGAAGCGGGAAGAGCUCAAAUUUGAAAUCUUAAAGGGUUUCCCUUUACGAAUUGUAGUUUAAAGAAGUGUUUUCUGUUGAGGUUUUGAUAAAAGUUCUUUGGAAUAGGACAUCAUAGAGGGUGAGAAUCCCGUAUUUGACCUUUACUUUCAACUUUGUGAUACACUUUCAAAGAGUCGGAUUGUUUGGGAAUGCAGUCCAAAAUGGGUGGUAAAUUUCAUCUAAAGCUAAAUAUUGGCGAGAGACCGAUAGCGAACAAGUACCGUGAGGGAAAGAUGAAAAGAACUUUGAAAAGAGAGUUAAACAGUACGUGAAAUUGUCAAAAGGGAAGCGUUUGACACCAGUGUUGUUUUUCUGAAAAUCAAUUAAAGAACUGUUUAUGCUAAGCUGUUUAGACUUUAUCAGCUAUCUGUUUAGUUUUGAGCUUUUCUUUAAUGCACUUUUCAGUUAACAAGUCAACAUCAAUUUCUUUUGCUGUAAAAAAGCUUGAGGAAGGUGGCUUGAGAUUCGUCUUAAGUGUUUAUAGCCUCUUGCCUAUGCAGUCGGAGAGAUUGAGGUCUGCAGCGUAGAUCCUUCGGGGCUAAAUGCAUUUGUGCUAAGUUAUAGCAUUUUAUAGACAACUUGUUGACUAUGAUUUGUCUUGUAGCUUACUCGCUUAUGUUAUUUUACCUACGCUUAGGAUGUUGACAGCAGUAUAGACUGU
RNAcentral lists this ribosomal RNA (774 nucleotides) under uncultured Neocallimastigales. Its description in RNAcentral is "partial large subunit ribosomal RNA". It matches the Rfam family "Eukaryotic large subunit ribosomal RNA", at positions 24 to 634 of the family's 3401-position model. Lineage: Eukaryota; Fungi; Neocallimastigomycota; Neocallimastigomycetes; Neocallimastigales. The record is from RNAcentral.